Flavobacterium sp. LM5 is the source of this 76-nucleotide non-coding RNA. Lineage: Bacteria; Pseudomonadati; Bacteroidota; Flavobacteriia; Flavobacteriales; Flavobacteriaceae. The record is from Rfam.
UUUGAGCCCUGAUCGCAGCGGUAUCCUUUUGGGGCGGGGUUCGCCCCAAAAGAUAUAGCGGAGAGCAGGAACCCUU